This 60-nucleotide transfer RNA is filed under the name Auplopus sp. SJW-2017. Its description in RNAcentral is "tRNA-Asn". The record is from RNAcentral. Lineage: Eukaryota; Metazoa; Arthropoda; Insecta; Hymenoptera; Pompilidae.
AAUUGAAACCAAAUAGAGGUAAAUUAUUGUUAAUAAUUAAAUUGAAUUAAAUUUCCAAUU